RNAcentral lists this ribosomal RNA (254 nucleotides) under uncultured bacterium. RNAcentral describes it as "partial 16S ribosomal RNA". It matches the Rfam family "Bacterial small subunit ribosomal RNA", at positions 524 to 776 of the family's 1533-position model. The record is from RNAcentral.
UACGUAGGGUGCAAGCGUUGUCCGGAAUUAUUGGGCGUAAAGAGCUCGUAGGCGGUUUGUCGCGUCGAAAUGUGAAAACCCGGGGCUCAACCCCGGGCCUGCAUUCGAUACGGGCAGACUAGAGUUCGGUAGGGGAGUCUGGAAUUCCUGGUGUAGCGGUGAAAUGCGCAGAUAUCAGGAGGAACACCGGUGGCGAAGGCGGGUCUCUGGGCCGAUACUGACGCUGAGGAGCGAAAGCGUGGGGAGCGAACAGG